UGGGGAAUAUUGGACAAUGGGGGAAACCCUGAUCCAGCAAUGCCGCGUGAGUGAAGAAGGCCUUAGGGUUGUAAAGCUCUUUCGCCCGCGAAGAUAAUGACGGUAGCGGGAGAAGAAGCCCCGGCUAACUCCGUGCCAGCAGCCGCGGUAAUACGGAGGGGGCUAGCGUUGUUCGGAAUUACUGGGCGUAAAGCGUACGUAGGCGGAUGCGCAAGUUGGGGGUGAAAUCCCGGGGCUUAACCUCGGAAUUGCCCUCAAAACUGCACGUCUUGAGACCGAGAGAGGUCAGGGGAAUUCCUAGUGUAGAGGUGAAAUUCGUAGAUAUUAGGAAGAACACCAGUGGCGAAGGCGCCUUACUGGCUCGGUACUGACGCUGAGGUACGAAAGCGUGGGGAGCAAACA
RNAcentral lists this ribosomal RNA (402 nucleotides) under uncultured bacterium. RNAcentral describes it as "bacterial SSU rRNA". It matches the Rfam family "Bacterial small subunit ribosomal RNA", at positions 355 to 774 of the family's 1533-position model. The record is from RNAcentral.